This is a non-coding RNA of Oryza sativa Japonica Group (Japanese rice), 3283 nucleotides long. Lineage: Eukaryota; Viridiplantae; Streptophyta; Magnoliopsida; Poales; Poaceae. The record is from RefSeq and is a predicted model, not a curated record.
CUUCGCUGCUGCGCUUGCCCAUACUCCAGAGUCCAGCCGACCCGACCCAAACCUCACCGCCGCCGUCGCCGUUGCCGCCGCCGCCGCCGCGUGCGCCCCUGCGGAAAUCUAGGGUCCUCGGCGGCGUCCCCCUCGCUCCGCCCCCGCGUUCUCUGCGGCGGCCUGAGCGACGCGCCGACCGGCCGAAGGCUCCGCGUUGAGCUGGCCAUGCAGGUGGUGGGGACGGCCGCCGCGUUCUCGCCGGCGGUGACGCCGUCUCCGGCGAGGAGGCGGGCCGUGGAUUCAGGGAGGAGGUUUUCUCGAAGCUGUCGGUCGGGGAGAGUUUCAGUCUCAGCAGUUGGGUACUCCCAAUUGGAGGUCAGAAGAGUUAGCUAUCGACCUCCAGGAACCGAACAAAACUUGUUGAAUGAAAUUAGCCUCAAUCUUAAGGAGAAAAGUUUUGGAUUACUUUUUGGACGAAGCGGGAGCGGAAAAACUACUCUUUUGCAGCUUUUGGCAGGUCUAUCGGAACCUACCCAUGGGACAAUUUGCAUACAGAAGUACAACGAUAGUGGAAAUCCUAUGGGUCCACCAGAAUUAUUAACUGCUCAAAGAGUUGGUAUCGUGUUUCAGUUUCCUGAGAGGUUUGAGUUGCCACUUUCACCAUUAAGUAAUAUAAACUCAAUAAGUUUGUAUAUGGUCAGUUGAAAUGUUUAAACUGUUCCAGUAAACAAUAAGAUCGUUUACAUAUCUCAUGUAGGUACUUCUUAGCAGAUACUGUGCUUGAGGAAAUUACUUUUGGAUGGCCACGGCAAAAUACAGACUUUCUUUUUAGGGAGAAGCUUGCUUUAAAACUUCAAAAUGCCAUUAACUCGGUUGGUCUGAAUGGCAUUUCAUUGGAAGAAGAUCCACAAUCUCUAAGUGGUGGGUUUAAACGGCGACUUGCUUUGGCAAUUCAACUGGUCCAAACUCCUGAUCUAUUAUUGCUUGAUGAGCCUCUUGCUGGUCUUGAUUGGAAAGCUCGUGCUGACGUUGUGAAUCUUCUCAAGGACCUAAAGAAGGAUCAUACUAUACUGGCUGUAAGUCAUGACCUAAGGGAAUUGUACCCACUAGUUGACCGCUCAUGGAGAAUGGAAAUGGGGGGAGUUUUGAAGGAAGAAGCUUUAUCUGUGUAAGGAUGCUUCUGUUUGUACUGUCAAUCAAGCUGGCACUGUAUACUAGCUGUCUCCAGAUCAGGAGCAAGCAAAUGCAAGCAGAACUUCAAUGGAGAGAUAAUUGAUUUUUCUCCAAAUUCCCACCGCUGGAACGAAGAAACAAUGUCUGAUGCAGAUUUUUGCCUGGGUAAGGGUAAGAUGCCUGUCUGCCAGGUAGCUGAAUUCCAACUCCAGAACUGCAUAAGCCAUUCCUCCGGGACAGGGUUCUGCAAAAAAAUGCAGGGUUCGCAUAAAAACCUGUAUAAUUUGGAAUGCAGAGCAAAACAACACUGAACAUCACACUGACAUUUAUGCUGAAGAGGAGCUAACUGAUUGUGCUACUGUUAGGAAACAUAAAAAACCUUGUUCUACUGCCUGACUAUUCCAUUCGCGUAUGUACAACCCGUUCUCCUCCAGAUUUCUUUGAUCUGUUCUAUAUUGUACUAAAUAAUGCAUGAAUCCUUAUUUUCGUGCUUCCCUCCAUUUGUGUGAUGUCUGUUGAAAUGUCCCAUUCAUGCAACGAUGUUACGGAUAUCAUAACAUAAUAUAUUUCCACCAUAAUCCAGGAAAUAGGUACACCUUGUGGUCAACAAAUUCUGUUCCCACUGUGAAUUCAUGCAUACCAUUCCUGAUCUUGUGUGCUAUAUGUAACGUGUUUUUGGGAAAGAAUUGACAUUUCUGUUGUACUGUAAAUUGCAUUUACUCUACUUAUGGACCACAUAUAUAUAUGAGCAUUUGCAAUUCUCAAGUCAGGGAGUAUCACUUUUCCAUCCCUUCUAGACUACAAUGGUCACUUUCACAGCUCAUCCCUUUACUCAUAUAUUCCAACCUUUGUAAACCCCACGUGUUUGGAGUCCCUGUCACCACCUGCCAGAAGGGACUUAUGUAUGCAAUGCAAGAACAAGUCAAGGCUGCAAAAAUGCUAAACAAGUGAUCUUAUCCAAAGAAGGCUCCAGGAAGGUGAGAAGGUUGGAAGGAUUUUGGUAGGUUGGGGUCAUUCUCUGAUCUGAAUUGUGGUGUCAGUUUUUCCAUCAUGAAAGGACCAUCUACCUGUUGGUAUAAUUUAUGGGUUUUUUUCCCCUUUGCUUCUUCCUAUUGUCUGCUCAUCAGUCUUGCAAUAUGUCGACAUCGGUCAUCACACAUGGAGCUAUGUAGGUGACCUGGACCUUCUCAAAGGGAAACACUAAUGGUGACUGAACUUCUGAGGGUAGGAAUGCAUGUCUGAAUUUCCUGUCCAUGCAUUUAUUUUGUUGGAAGGUUUGUAGGCCGUUUCCCAUAUUCCUGCAUGAACUGAAUUGCUUUUUAAAAAAUUCUUAUGUUCCUAUACUUGCAGUAGAAACAGACAUUCUGUGUGCAGCUAAUGUUGGACAGUAAUAUUUGGUGGUGAAAAGCAUUAAUGUGACACUAAUAACGUGCCCCUGGGGUCGACUACUUAUAUUUGGAUCAGUGUUAAUGUCUAGCUGACAAUCUUUGCAAUUGUAUAUUAGGCUAAUUAAAUAUACCGUUGUAUAUAGUAAGAUUUUUUACGGUAGAAGUACCUCCAUACUAGAGAGCUAAAAAGUACUACAAUUUAUGCCUGAGACUAUGUUCAACAAUACCUAGGUUAUAUGUACCUUAACAUGUAUUUGUCUCUGUUUGCUGAGGAAACAGAAAUCAUUAAGAUGAUCUUUGUUCACCCAUUAAUUUGUCCCUAGCAGCGUUUUACACUUCAGAAUGCAAAUAACUCUUCGGGUGGUACUGAAAAUUUGAAAUUUACAAUAUAUUUUCACUAAAUUUGAACCUUUUUUUUUUGCUCAACUCAAACAAAUUUUUUUGGCCAAAGGCACAUCCUACCAGUAGGCCAGAAAUUUCAUUCCAAAAUUGUGAACACCCGGUCGAAUUUCCAUUUGUUUCAUCUUAGCCCUCAAGAGUUCCUGUUCACUUCUCUCCAUUGCCCCUACUUUUAGGACAUCAUUCCAUUGUAUAUACUGUACUAUUUUUAAUUUGCAAACUCCCACAGCAAGGCUUUUCAUCUAUUAGUAUGAUAGAAUGUGUGAAAUCACAAUAAUUUGUUUUCGGUUAUGGUAUGAGUAUAAUUACCUACCUACAAAACCUACGCAUAUAUCCAACAC